Molecule: ribosomal RNA, 467 nt
Filed under: uncultured bacterium
Lineage: Bacteria
Description: partial 16S ribosomal RNA
Rfam family: Bacterial small subunit ribosomal RNA
Source: RNAcentral
GACGAACGCUGGCGGCGUGCUUAACACAUGCAAGUCGAACGGAAAGGCCUUUUUCGGGGGGUACUCGAGUGGCGAACGGGUGAGUAACACGUGAGUAACCUGCCCUUGACUUUGGGAUAACUUCAGGAAACUGGGGCUAAUACCGGAUAGGAGCUCCUGCUGCAUGGUGGGGGUUGGAAAGUUUCGGUGGGUGGGGGUGGAGUCGCGGCUUAUCAUCUUUUUGGUGGGGUAGUGGCUUACCAAGGCUUUGACGGGUAGCCCGCCUGGGAGGGGGAACGGGCACAAUGGGGCUGGGAAAAGGCCCAGACUCCUACGGGAGGCAGGAGGUGGGAAUAUUUCACAAUUGGUGGAAGGCUGAUUCAGCAACGGCGUGGUGAGGAAGACGGCCUUCGGGUUGGAAAACGUCUGCGAUCAUGGCGAAGCUGUGUGUGACGGUAGUGGGUAAAGAAGCACCGGCUAACUACGUG